AUUGAACGCUGGCGGCAUGCUUUACACAUGCAAGUCGAACGGCAGCGCGGGCUUCGGCCUGGCGGCGAGUGGCGAACGGGUGAGUAAUACAUCGGAACGUGCCCAGUAGUGGGGGAUAGCUCGGCGAAAGCCGGAUUAAUACCGCAUACGACCUGAGGGUGAAAGCGGGGGAUCUUCGGACCUCGCGCUAUUGGAGCGGCCGAUGGCAGAUUAGCUAGUUGGUGGGGUAAAGGCAUACCAAGGCGACGAUCUGUAGCUGGUCUGAGAGGACGACCAGCCACACUGGGACUGAGACACGGCCCAGACUCCUACGGGAGGCAGCAGUGGGGAAUUUUGGACAAUGGGCGAAAGCCUGAUCCAGCAAUGCCGCGUGUGUGAUGAAGGCCUUCGGGUUGUAAAGCACUUUUGGCGGGAACGAAAAGGGCUGUGCCAAUACCACGGUUCGAUGACGGUACCCGCAGAAUAAGCACCGGCUAACUACGUG
RNAcentral lists this ribosomal RNA (484 nucleotides) under uncultured bacterium. RNAcentral's name for it is "partial 16S ribosomal RNA". It matches the Rfam family "Bacterial small subunit ribosomal RNA", at positions 29 to 507 of the family's 1533-position model. The record is from RNAcentral.